AGUUAAACAGUACGUGAAAUUGUUGAAAGGGAAACGAUUGAAGCCAGUCGUACCUUCGGGUAAUCAGCCUUUUGGGUGUGAUUUUGUGGAGCGUGAAGAGUUAAACGCCUUCAUGCCUGCAUAUUCGUGCACUUUGGGUGUACUUGCCCGUAUGGUUGGUUAACAUCAAUUUUGAUGGUCAUAAAAUGACUGGAGGAAUGUAGCUUCGAUCUCGUAUUGAAGUGUUAUAGCCUUCGGUAGAUGUGAUGAUCGAGAUUGAGGAUUGCAACGGAUACCCUUCGGGGCUACCUGUCUGAUCUCUGAUCGUUGCUCUGGUGCCGAAAGCUUGCUUACGGUUAUCAAAGUCGAUGGUCAAUAGGUUAGAACGGGUUAAAUUCGUUAAGGAUGUUGACGUAAUGGCUUUAAA
Molecule: unclassified non-coding RNA, 406 nt
Filed under: uncultured Rhizophagus
Lineage: Eukaryota; Fungi; Glomeromycota; Glomeromycetes; Glomerales; Glomeraceae
Description: sequence contains 28S rRNA gene
Source: RNAcentral